CGUCAGUGCUAUUCCUUUAAAGUAUCUGCUCUAUCAACUGUCGAUGGUAUAUUAUAUGUUUACCAUGGUUGUAACGGGUAACGGGGAAUUAGGGUUCGAUUCCGGAGAGGGAGCCUGAGAAACGGCUACCACAUCUAAGGAAGGCAGCAGGCGCGCAAAUUACCCAAUCCCGGCUCGGGGAGGUAGUGACAAAAAAUAACAAUGCGGGACUCUUAUGAGGCUUCGUAAUUGGAAUGAGUACAUUCUAAAUCCUUUAACGAGGAACUAUUGGAGGGCAAGUCUGGUGCCAGCAGCCGCGGUAAUUCCAGCUCCAAUAGCGUAUAUUAAAGUUGUUGCGUCUAAAAAGCUCGUAGUUUGAAAACUUGCCUUGGCUUACAACAGACGUCUAAGGGCGUCACCGUUUGUCGAGAGCAAAUAUGGGUGACUGUUCUUGCCUUCUUCACUGAUUGGCUCGUAAAAGUCAUCGAAGAUCACUUUGAUUAAAUUAGGGUGCUCAAAGCAAGUGUGCUACUUGAAUAUGAAUGCAUGGAAUGAUGGAAUAUGUUGUUGUUCUAUUUGUUGGUUUUUUGAAUGACGAAAUGAUUGAAAGGAACUGUUGGGGGCAUUCGUAUUGUUGUGAGAGAGGUGAAAUUCUUAGACCAUAGCAAGACGAACUACUGCGAAAGCAUUUGCCAGGAAUGUUUUCAUUGAUCAAGAACGAAAGUUAGAGGUUCGAAGGCGAUCAGAUACCGCCCUAGUUCUAACCAUAAACUAUGCCGACUAGCAAUUUGCUUUGUAUUUUUAUGACUAAGUGAGAGGCCACGGGAAACCAAAGUAGGGUUAUGGGGGAAGUAUGGUUGCAAAGCUGAAACUUAAAGGAAUUGACAGAAGGGCACCACCAGGAGUGGAGCCUGCGGCUUAAUUUGACCCAACACGGGAAAACUUACCUGGUCCUGACACUAGAAGGAUUGACAGAUUGAUAGCUCUUUCUUGAUUUGGUGGAUGGUGGUGCAUGGCCGUUCUUAGUUGGUGGAGUGAUUUGUCUGGUUAAUUCCGAUAACGAACGAGACUCUAGCCUAUUAAAUAAUAUGCGGAAUCAAUUUCUCCCGCGUUAUUUCUUAAUGGGAUCAAGCGUGUUUAACGCUUUGAAACAGAGCAAUAACAGGUCUGUGAUGCCCUUAGAUGUUCGGGGCUGCACGCGCGCUACAUUGAAGAACAAAGUGAGCCCUCUGGCUUUUAACAAAGCUAGAAAUCUUUUAAUGUUCUUCUUAAUGGGGAUAGGGGAUUGCAAUUGUGCCCCUUGAACGAGGAAUUCCCAGUAAGUGCUAGUCAUUAGCUAGUACUGAUUACGUCCCUGCCCUUUGUACACACCGCCCGUCGCUACUACCGAUUGAAUAGUUUAGUGAGAUCAUCUGAG
RNAcentral lists this ribosomal RNA (1396 nucleotides) under metagenome. RNAcentral describes it as "SSU rRNA". It matches the Rfam family "Eukaryotic small subunit ribosomal RNA", at positions 282 to 1715 of the family's 1831-position model. The record is from RNAcentral.